GGGGGAUUGAGGGCAGGCCUUGAAAGUGAGAUACACUUCUGCUUAGGUCUCCACACUCUGCCUCCAGCCCACCAUGAUGUGACCAGCUACCUCACACUGCUGCUGCCGUGUCUUCCACAUCAAGAUGUGGAAACUAAGGCCAGGAAAUCAACUCCCCAAGGUCAAACUGCUAGCAAUCACAGUGCGGGAUGUGGAGCUGGAUCCACCUACGGAUGCUCACAUGAGCCUCUCAUCCCCACCUUCAUCCAGGAUGUUGCCUCUACCAAGAACCUGAGCCUCUCACCUGCCUCACCUCACCCCGCUGGUUUCUACACAUCCUGACUCCUGAAGGGAGUCACUUUCUGGACAGCGUAUCCUGGUCACCUCUAUGUUCCUAGAGUGCAUGUGGACACAGGAUGUUAACCCAAGAAUAAUUACAGUGAGGAGGAGGAGGAAGAGGAGGAGGAGGAAGAGGAAGAGGAGGAAGAGGAAGGGGAGGAAGAGGAAGGGGAGGAAGAGGAAGGAGAGAAGGAA
This is a non-coding RNA of Rattus norvegicus (Norway rat), 513 nucleotides long. The record is from RefSeq and is a predicted model, not a curated record. Lineage: Eukaryota; Metazoa; Chordata; Mammalia; Rodentia; Muridae.